This 299-nucleotide unclassified non-coding RNA is filed under the name plant metagenome. RNAcentral's name for it is "partial contains 5.8S ribosomal RNA, internal transcribed spacer 2, and large subunit ribosomal RNA". The stretch from base 1 to 105 matches the Rfam family "5.8S ribosomal RNA", at positions 50 to 154 of the family's 154-position model. The record is from RNAcentral.
GAAAUGCGAUAAGUAAUGUGAAUUGCAGAAUUCAGUGAAUCAUCGAAUCUUUGAACGCACAUUGCGCUCGCCAGUAUUCUGGCGAGCAUGCCUGUUCGAGCGUCAUUUCAACCAUCAAGCUCUGCUUGCGUUGGGGAUCCGCGGCUGCCCGCGGUCCCUCAAAAACAGUGGCGGGCUCGCUAGUCACACCGGGCGUAGUAACUCUACAUCGCUAUGGUCGUGCGGCGGGUUCUUACCGUAAAACCCCCAAUUUCUAAGGUUGACCUCGGAUCAGGUAGGAAUACCCGCUGAACUUAAGC